AUGUGUCAUUCUGAAGCUUCACAGGCAUCAUUUUUCUCUUCCAGGAAGAUGCUUGCCUUGCUCAGUGUCCUCCUGCUCUCAUCACAUGUCCUUCCUCUCGUCCAUUCACUGCAGUGCGAUGAAAGAACAGAGUACUUGAAAGACAAUCGGUGCUGCAAAAAAUGUAAACCAGGAGAGCUUAUGAUAGAGAAAUGUGAACAAGGAAUUUCUGAUACUCAGUGCGACGCAUGUGGAGAUGGCUUCUUCAUGGACGACUAUAAUAUCAAUUACCACUGGUGCAAACAUUGCACAACGUGCACCAAGGAACAUAUGAAGAAUAUGAAGAACUGUACGGCGACAAGUGAUGCAGUGUGUACAUGUGAGGAGGGCUACAGAUGCAGUGACAGCAAAUGCCAGACGUGUGAGAAAAUUCAGACAACUACUGUUACUACUCCUCCUUCCACUCAAACAAUACCGCCCACCCAUGAUAAUGUGUGGAUCUCGGUGAGUCUGUGUUUUGCAUGUGUGUGUGUGUGCGCUCUGCUCACCUGUUUCCUUCUCAUCAGCAGACAUGCACGACCAUGUGGACGGAUCAUGUCAACAUCAGUCGGUCUCUGCUCCUCCGACAAGAGCAGCCUUGGAUCCAGUCAGUGCACAGAGGAAGAGGAGGUACCAAUGCCAGUACAGGAGGUGUGUGGAAAGACUGAAAAACUGGAGGAUGUCUGAGAAAAGAGCAGGAAGAAGACCACUGAUGCGUCUACGGAUUGAGUAUUUACUCUAA
Long non-coding RNA from Cyprinus carpio (common carp), 760 nucleotides. The record is from Ensembl. Lineage: Eukaryota; Metazoa; Chordata; Actinopteri; Cypriniformes; Cyprinidae.